Molecule: ribosomal RNA, 191 nt
Filed under: uncultured bacterium
Lineage: Bacteria
Description: partial 16S ribosomal RNA
Rfam family: Bacterial small subunit ribosomal RNA
Source: RNAcentral
ACUCGACUACAUGAAGCUGGAAUCGCUAGUAAUCGCAGAUCAGAAUGCUGCGGUGAAUACGUUCCCGGGUCUUGUACACACCGCCCGUCACACCAUGGGAGUCGGAAAUGCCCGAAGCCGGUGACCCAACCAAAAGGAGGGAGCCGUCGAAGGCAGGUCUGAUAACUGGGGUGAAGUCGUAACAAGGUACC